Molecule: ribosomal RNA, 148 nt
Filed under: uncultured bacterium
Lineage: Bacteria
Description: partial 16S ribosomal RNA
Rfam family: Bacterial small subunit ribosomal RNA
Source: RNAcentral
UGAUCCAGCCAUGCCGCGUGUGUGAAGAAGGCCUUCGGGUUGUAAAGCACUUUAAGUUGGGAAGAAGGGCUCCCGGUUAAUACCUUGUUGUUUUGACGUUACCGACAGAAUAAGCACCGGCUAACUCUGUGCCAGCAGCCGCGAUAAU